Molecule: ribosomal RNA, 274 nt
Filed under: uncultured bacterium
Lineage: Bacteria
Description: partial 16S ribosomal RNA
Rfam family: Bacterial small subunit ribosomal RNA
Source: RNAcentral
AUACGGAGGGUGCAAGCAUUAUUCGGAAUCACUGGGCGUAAAGGACGCGUAGGCGGGUUGGCAAGUCAGAUGUGAAAUCCUACAGCUUAACUGUAGAACUGCAUUUGAAACUGCUAACCUAGAGUAUGGGAGGGGGAGAUGGAAUUAGUGGUGUAGGGGUAAAAUCCGUAGAUAUCACUAGGAAUACCGAAAGCGAAGGCGAUCUCCUGGAACAUAACUGACGCUAAGGCGUGAAAGCGUGGGGAGCAAACAGGAUUAGAAACCCUAGUAGUCC